Molecule: long non-coding RNA, 807 nt
Organism: Penaeus monodon (black tiger shrimp)
Lineage: Eukaryota; Metazoa; Arthropoda; Malacostraca; Decapoda; Penaeidae
Exons: 5
Source: RefSeq, a predicted model, not a curated record
GGCCUUGCACAUUUUUAACAAAUGGCCGUAGGGUACUGAAUAUAAAAGGUCUCCGGAAAACCAUGACUCCAGGUAUGGUAGUUCCGCUCCAAGCCGAUAGGGAACAGUAGCUUCCCGUUCGCUCGAAUUCUGAUCACUGAAGAUAAGGAAAUAUAGUGUAGUCUAAAACCUGAUAAAAAAAAAAUGAACUGGAAGGCAGCACGCUCACUGCAACAGGAGGAAACGAGAUCAACAACAUUGUUUAUUACACGUUUUACAAAGGAAAACUCACCGUGAUAUGUAACAGAAGGUCUACUGUCGGAAGUCCAACGUGGUACUGAUGCAUUAUUAAGCGAUCGCCAUGCCAUCCCGGGCACCAGCAAAGGCCAACAAAUCUCUACUAUGGAUAUUAUGACAAGAUAUACCAGCUGAGAUGGUACAUUUAAAAAGAAUUAUGGACAUCGAAACAGAAGGAAACCUACAGGAAAACCAUACAGCUGGAGAUUUCAGCUAUAGACUCACUAAGGAAAGUCUAUUCAUAUCACAACAUUGAUUUUGCAGCUGGAAUACUGCAUACAUCUUGGGCUACCACAUCCAUAGAGAACUGUCAAGAAGUGGCAGUUUCAGGUGAUUACAGGUUCCAGGAUGUAGCAGAGCCAGCAUGUUCAACACCUUAAGACAGUAAUUCCUGUGCGAGGCUGAAUCUUGUAUGAAUCGAAGUAGCAAGGCAUGUGCAGCUUGAUCAUCCAGUUAAGAUUUAAGCCAUUGAAGAUGCAGCUUUUGCAGUUGAUGAGACCCUUACUUUAGUGUAUAUAUACUAGUAACAAG